Molecule: long non-coding RNA, 443 nt
Organism: Trichomycterus rosablanca
Lineage: Eukaryota; Metazoa; Chordata; Actinopteri; Siluriformes; Trichomycteridae
Exons: 3
Source: RefSeq, a predicted model, not a curated record
CUACGAGCCGCCUGAUCUAAAUCAGAAUGAGGAUGAAGAGCUGAGAAGCAGUUACAGCAAACCAGACGACCACAACUUAGAUAAAAAGAAAGGUCUGAGGUGUCGGGCCUGUGUAGCUCUGGUGAGCAAAGUGAUGGGUCCGGUCUCGGCCAGGAUCAGAAAGAAAGUGAAUUCACUGUGUGACAUAUUUAAAGAGCCUCUGCUGAGUAAGUGUCUGUCCAAAACUUCCAACAUCUCCAGCAGCCUGGUGGAUUUUAUUUUCCCCAAGAAGAACGUGAGAGAAACGUGUGUGAAAGUGAAUAUGUGUGAACAAAAGCCUCAGAUCCGAUAUUAAACCCUCACUGUGGACUCGCAGCUUUAAUAAUGUUUUAAUUUGUUGGUAAUAAGUCGUGGUUUUGUUCAUUUUGCUUCAGUUUUUUUUUUUAUUGUUAUUCUUUAUUGUU